This 1005-nucleotide ribosomal RNA is filed under the name Burkholderia multivorans. RNAcentral's name for it is "bacterial SSU rRNA". It matches the Rfam family "Bacterial small subunit ribosomal RNA", at positions 1 to 1000 of the family's 1533-position model. Lineage: Bacteria; Pseudomonadati; Pseudomonadota; Betaproteobacteria; Burkholderiales; Burkholderiaceae. The record is from RNAcentral.
GAACUGAAGAGUUUGAUCCUGGCUCAGAUUGAACGCUGGCGGCAUGCCUUACACAUGCAAGUCGAACGGCAGCACGGGUGCUUGCACCUGGUGGCGAGUGGCGAACGGGUGAGUAAUACAUCGGAACAUGUCCUGUAGUGGGGGAUAGCCCGGCGAAAGCCGGAUUAAUACCGCAUACGAUCCACGGAUGAAAGCGGGGGACCUUCGGGCCUCGCGCUAUAGGGUUGGCCGAUGGCUGAUUAGCUAGUUGGUGGGGUAAAGGCCUACCAAGGCGACGAUCAGUAGCUGGUCUGAGAGGACGACCAGCCACACUGGGACUGAGACACGGCCCAGACUCCUACGGGAGGCAGCAGUGGGGAAUUUUGGACAAUGGGCGAAAGCCUGAUCCAGCAAUGCCGCGUGUGUGAAGAAGGCCUUCGGGUUGUAAAGCACUUUUGUCCGGAAAGAAAUCCUUGGCUCUAAUACAGUCGGGGGAUGACGGUACCGGAAGAAUAAGCACCGGCUAACUACGUGCCAGCAGCCGCGGUAAUACGUAGGGUGCGAGCGUUAAUCGGAAUUACUGGGCGUAAAGCGUGCGCAGGCGGUCUGUUAAGACAGAUGUGAAAUCCCCGGGCUCAACCUGGGAACUGCAUUUGUGACUGGCAGGCUAGAGUAUGGCAGAGGGGGGUAGAAUUCCACGUGUAGCAGUGAAAUGCGUAGAGAUGUGGAGGAAUACCGAUGGCGAAGGCAGCCCCCUGGGCCAAUACUGACGCUCAUGCACGAAAGCGUGGGGAGCAAACAGGAUUAGAUACCCUGGUAGUCCACGCCCUAAACGAUGUCAACUAGUUGUUGGGGAUUCAUUUCCUUAGUAACGUAGCUAACGCGUGAAGUUGACCGCCUGGGGAGUACGGUCGCAAGAUUAAAACUCAAAGGAAUUGACGGGGACCCGCACAAGCGGUGGAUGAUGUGGAUUAAUUCGAUGCAACGCGAAAAACCUUACCUACCCUUGACAUGGUCGGAAUCCUG